GUUUCCAGCCAGUGUCUCGCCGGAACAAGUGGCCUUCCCUGGAGUUCUGUUCCCACCAGCUGGUCUCGGCUCUUCCCUAUCAUUUCCCCUUCUCCCCUCCACUGGUUCCAAUUUCGCCCACGGUGUGCGUCCCAAAACGCUGAACCGGCUCCUAAAAUGAGUACUCGUGGUUUCCGCGUGGGAACCCACCUCUGGGGCCUCUGGCCCGCCCUCCGCUGGCUUAGGUGGCUGCUGGGGCUGGGGCUGCUCCUGGGGCUUCAGGCCGCCCUCUGCGUGGCUUUCUAUCUCCCGGGGUUGGCUCCCGUCAACUUCUGCGAGGCGGACCAAGAGACUGCCACCUGCAAGUCUCUGCAAACAGCAAGUUAAUUUGUACCUCUCAGACUUGCGAGAAUAAAAUGAGACAACGUAUGACAAGCACUGACAAAAACACUUGGCACAUGUCAUCUGUAGCACUAUUUGUAAAUAGUCUGGACUCAGUGGAACCUGCUGUCUUAUGAAUAUAAUAUUUUUAACAAGACAGAAACAUGUUCAAAAGUUUGUGUAAAAUUUUAUGAUAUAGCAAGUGAAGAUCGAAAGAAAAGGCUGGAUUUUUUGAAGAAAGGAACACAGCUGAAUUAUCAACGUCACUGGGUUAACAGGAGCAUCUUCAAAGGCUGCCUUGGGAA
This 665-nucleotide long non-coding RNA is filed under the name Sus scrofa (pig). RNAcentral's name for it is "lncRNA (ENSSSCG00025002796.1)". Lineage: Eukaryota; Metazoa; Chordata; Mammalia; Artiodactyla; Suidae. The record is from RNAcentral.